AGUGAACGCUGGCGGUAGGCCUAACACAUGCAAGUCGAACGGCAGCACAGUAAGAGCUUGCUCUUACGGGUGGCGAGUGGCGGACGGGUGAGGAAUACAUCGGAAUCUACUUUUUCGUGGGGGAUAACGUAGGGAAACUUACGCUAAUACCUCAUACGACCUACGGGUGAAAGCAGGGGAUCUUCGGACCUUGCGCGAUUGAAUGAGCCGAUGUCGGAUUAGCUAGUUGGCGGGGUAAAGGCCCACCAAGGCGACGAUCCGUAGCUGGUCUGAGAGGAUGAUCAGCCACACUGGAACUGAGACACGGUCCAGACUCCUACGGGAGGCAGCAGUGGGGAAUAUUGGACAAUGGGCGAAAGCCUGAUCCAGCAAUACCGCGUGGGUGAAGAAGGCCUUCGGGUUGUAAAGCCCUUUUGUUGGGAAAGAAAAGCAGCAGGUUAAUACCCCGCUGUUCUGACGGUACCCAAAGAAUAAGCACCGGCUAACUUCGUG
This 492-nucleotide ribosomal RNA is filed under the name uncultured bacterium. RNAcentral describes it as "partial 16S ribosomal RNA". It matches the Rfam family "Bacterial small subunit ribosomal RNA", at positions 29 to 507 of the family's 1533-position model. The record is from RNAcentral.